GGUCAAGCUACAAAGGGCGCAU
RNAcentral lists this ribosomal RNA (22 nucleotides) under uncultured Clostridiaceae bacterium. RNAcentral's name for it is "partial 23S ribosomal RNA". The record is from RNAcentral. RNAcentral also lists the same sequence under 1 other name. Lineage: Bacteria; Bacillati; Bacillota; Clostridia; Eubacteriales; Clostridiaceae.